AGAUUGAACGCUGGCGGCAUGCCUUACACAUGCAAGUCGAACGGCAGCACGGGGGUAACCCUGGUGGCGAGUGGCGAACGGGUGAGUAAUAUAUCGGAACGUACCCUGGAGUGGGGGAUAACGCAGCGAAAGUUGCGCUAAUACCGCAUACGAUCUCAGGAUGAAAGUGGGGGAUUCGCAAGAACCUCAUGCUCCUGGAGCGGCCGAUAUCUGAUUAGCUAGUUGGUAGGGUAAAAGCCUACCAAGGCAUCGAUCAGUAGCUGGUCUGAGAGGACGACCAGCCACACUGGGACUGAGACACGGCCCAGACUCCUACGGGAGGCAGCAGUGGGGAAUUUUGGACAAUGGGGGCAACCCUGAUCCAGCAAUGCCGCGUGAGUGGAGAAGGCCUUCGGGUUGUAAAGCUCUUUUGUCCGGAAGAACGGUCCUUUCUAAUACAGAGGCUAAUGACGGUACCGGAAGAAUAAGCACCGGCUAACUACGUGCCAGCAGCCGCGGUAACG
Molecule: ribosomal RNA, 503 nt
Filed under: uncultured soil bacterium
Lineage: Bacteria
Description: bacterial SSU rRNA
Rfam family: Bacterial small subunit ribosomal RNA
Source: RNAcentral